UGCAAGUCGAGCGGACAGAAGGGAGCUUGCUCCCGGAUGUUAGCGGCGGACGGGUGAGUAACACGUGGGUAACCUGCCUGUAAGACUGGGAUAACUCCGGGAAACCGGAGCUAAUACCGGAUAGUUCCUUGAACCGCAUGGUUCAAGGAUGAAAGACGGUUUCGGCUGUCACUUACAGAUGGACCCGCGGCGCAUUAGCUAGUUGGUGAGGUAACGGCUCACCAAGGCGACGAUGCGUAGCCGACCUGAGAGGGUGAUCGGCCACACUGGGACUGAGACACGGCCCAGACUCCUACGGGAGGCAGCAGUAGGGAAUCUUCCGCAAUGGACGAAAGUCUGACGGAGCAACGCCGCGUGAGUGAUGAAGGUUUUCGGAUCGUAAAGCUCUGUUGUUAGGGAAGAACAAGUGCAAGAGUAACUGCUUGCACCUUGACGGUACCUAACCAGAAAGCCACGGCUAACUACGUGCCAGCAGCCGCGGUAAUACGUAGGUGGCAAGCGUUGUCCGGAAUUAUUGGGCGUAAAGGGCUCGCAGGCGGUUUCUUAAGUCUGAUGUGAAAGCCCCCGGCUCAACCGGGGAGGGUCAUUGGAAACUGGGAAACUUGAGUGCAGAAGAGGAGAGUGGAAUUCCACGUGUAGCGGUGAAAUGCGUAGAGAUGUGGAGGAACACCAGUGGCGAAGGCGACUCUCUGGUCUGUAACUGACGCUGAGGAGCGAAAGCGUGGGGAGCGAACAGGAUUAGAUACCCUGGUAGUCCACGCCGUAAACGAUGAGUGCUAAGUGUUAGGGGGUUUCCGCCCCUUAGUGCUGCAGCUAACGCAUUAAGCACUCCGCCUGGGGAGUACGGUCGCAAGACUGAAACUCAAAGGAAUUGACGGGGGCCCGCACAAGCGGUGGAGCAUGUGGUUUAAUUCGAAGCAACGCGAAGAACCUUACCAGGUCUUGACAUCCUCUGACAACCCUAGAGAUAGGGCUUUCCCUUCGGGGACAGAGUGACAGGUGGUGCAUGGUUGUCGUCAGCUCGUGUCGUGAGAUGUUGGGUUAAGUCCCGCAACGAGCGC
This 1061-nucleotide ribosomal RNA is filed under the name Bacillus sp. (in: firmicutes). RNAcentral describes it as "bacterial SSU rRNA". It matches the Rfam family "Bacterial small subunit ribosomal RNA", at positions 56 to 1099 of the family's 1533-position model. Lineage: Bacteria; Bacillati; Bacillota; Bacilli; Caryophanales; Bacillaceae. The record is from RNAcentral.